Long non-coding RNA from Lates calcarifer (barramundi perch), 2039 nucleotides. RefSeq lists it as uncharacterized. The transcript is spliced from 3 exons. NCBI's taxonomy places the organism in Eukaryota, Metazoa, Chordata, Actinopteri, Centropomidae. The record is from RefSeq and is a predicted model, not a curated record.
UUACAUUUAUUUUGGUGUACUUUAGAGCCUAGUAUUAGGUUAGGUAAGAUUAGAUUAGAUUUAUAGUAAUUAGUCAGAUGAAAUUUACAGUGGAUUUCAUUUCUUCUCCUCAGUCAGUUUGCUCUCUAGACAAUUAAAGACAAUGAAACAUGCCAUAAUGUUGCAGGCCAAGCCUGCCCCUUAGAUAGGUAGGAUAUAGGCUGUGUGUGUAUGUGUGUGCCUCUGUAUGUGAGGGUGUGCGCGUGACGUGGGAGGAAGUGCUUGCAUGUAAAAAACAGGAAGUGUAACCCUGGAGCCGUACAUGGCGUACGAGUGUGUGUGAAUGCAGCCGCAGCCACGGAGUAUACUAUCGUGCCAACAAACACGAAAGUAAAACCAAACGUGUUAGGUUGGAACUGUGUGUGUACAGCCUGCUGCAGAGUUUCAAUAAAGUGCCGGGUUGUCCACCGCAGAGCUGGUCCGGAUUUUUAUUGGUAUGCUGUUACCCAUAACGAGCCACGCUAAGCUAAGGGAGCUAGCGUUAUACCUGAGGCUGCCCAACUACGGUUCGGAAGCCACGAGACGGGUCGGUAACAAUAAGUGCCCUUAAAGCUCAUAAAGAGCUGAAUGUUUGGAGAGCUAAAUGGUUUUUCUAACUGUUUUUGCCAUUUUUCUCACACUAAUUAUGAACUUACGAAACAGAGGGUUUUUGUCUGUGGGCCCUUGUCUACAUGGGGAUAGAGCCCCCUACCCAACACCUCCCCUCUCCCAAAAUGUGGUUUCUGGGCAAAAGUUAGUAAACAAACUGUGAUUGGCUAAUCAGACUGACCAAUCCUAAGAAGAUGGUGUCUCCCCUUUUGAUGUCUUACAGUCAUCAGUCAUUAGAAACAAUCUACAUCUGUAUUAACAUAAAUGUUUCUGUGUUUCUGUAUUUAUCUUAGAAUGGCUCUGCACAAAGUCAUCAGCAGUCAUCCCGACUCACCUUUUUUUCGUCUCUCCAUGUAACAGUGGUACAAAUGGAGGACAAAAAUAAGGUCCUCUCUUGGAUCUUCAGCUCAGGAGAUCCAAAGCCCUGUGUGGUUAAAAAAAAUGCAAUAUGUGAUGGAGACAGCAUGGCCAAAAUCACCCUGUAUGAGGAGUACACCACAAAAAUAAAAAGAAAGGGCAGGGUUACAUAAUGAAUGGGUACCUCUUAAAAAAUGAAGGCACCCCCAUACAUUAUCAUGGUCACAAAGGAGACACAGUUCUUCCGGUCUGCUCCCAUUGAGGUGUCGGAGGAAUUGAAAGGCAACGCCCUGGCGCUCCUUCAAUCUGUCUCCAGGAGAGUGCCACUGAGAGACACCAAGGAGGUGUCAGUAGAGAGGUGGUGGAGGUCAGUUAUUUUUGUCCACAAAGAUUGGUUGUUCAGUCCAGGGUUAUGCUAACAUUGUGGUCUUGCAUACAGAUAUGAAUUCUAGAUAACCUACUCUAAACACUAAUAAGUUUACCUUGUCCAGCUCUCUGCCCCACAGAAAGUGACAGUGGGAAAAGGAAGUUCCUUUGAGGACGGCCACUUUGAGAGAGGGCACAACCAGCAUAGCUGUUAGCCUAUGGAGGGAGGCUGCAGUCAUCCCUCUGAAAGUGGGAGAGGUGAUCACCUUGACCCAUUUAUAAGGACACACAUCCAGUUAUGGCUAGAAGCUGCAGUCAUCUGAUUACACUGCAGUAGAGGACUCAAACGCCAUCACUGCGUGUAGGAGCUCUUGGGGUGAUGGAGAGUCCAAGUAAGCCUGGGAUCCUGAAGCUCCUGACCAUGGAGGGAGACACAGUGCUGAUAGAAGAAGGUCUUUGGAGCAAGCUGGAACCCCCGAUGAAAGUCCCUCCUUUAAAACUUAAAAUUAAAAAAGUUGGGGACAAAAUAACAGAGACUGAGGCUGAAGAUGUCUUGGGGGAGAUGUAAAUAGUUUGUUUUAGUUAAUGUUCAGUGGGUUCAGAUGUUAAAAAUGUAAAAAGUGUAGUUGUUUUUAUUUGUGUUUGUGUUUGUUGUGUUUUGGUAAAAUAAAUUUCUAAAUAUUGCUAAA